GCUUAGCCCUGGAAGGACUAAUUAACUAAAGUGGCAUUCUGAGUAACAGCCAAGACUUUUUGGAGUCAGAAGAGUCUGGGAUCCUGAUUACUUUGGACGCCUGAGUUCGUCUCACAGGUUCCUGUGAUCUCUUCAGACACGGUAAUUGUGGUUCUGGCUGAAAUGAAUGACGCUCGGCAACACCACUGCCAUCUUCCAGCCCACAGAUGUCACAUCCUCUCGAGCGACCCCAUGGGACUCCUGACGGCAUGAGAGUCUGCCGUCUGGUCCCCGCAGAGGUCCCGGGGCACAGUCUGCUCCCCGGACGUAUUUGCUGGGCUGUCAAACAAAGACAGUGAGAUGCAGACAAGUCCCCUGCGUGUGAAGUCACAGCCUUUGGAAGUGAAGCUGCUGCGGAGAUAAGGAGAGGAAUUUGCAAGAGUCAAAAGCGCUUGUGAAGAAGAAGAGAGGACUUGGCCAGCCGGGGCAGACCUCUCGAGGACACAGCGGAGGCCGGCCAUACUUGACAAACCUCCCUGCGUGUUUUCACAAAGUCUCCGGGAGCCUCUGGGGAUAGCCGGCGGUCUCAGAGCAGAGCACUUGUGUCCCUGCCCCCUGCUCCCAUCAGUUAGAGAACUUCCAGAAAUGCUGGCCACAGGCGGCCCUCGACGGACCCACCAUGAGCGGGUCGCACGUGCGGGCAGGGCCACAGUGUUUGCUUCAGGACGACGGGAGUGUGGUCUCUGAGCCUGGUGUCCCGUCUCCCAGGAGCUGGAGCCCUGCUUGCCACGGGGCCUGUGUGGCUGUUGGGCUUUGCUGUUCCAGGCAGGGGAGCAGGAAUGCAGGCACAGAGGGCUGACCCCUUAGUUCAGAUAAGCUGGAAUCCCAUCGGGCUAAAUUCUGCGGCAGUGAUGAGCACGCUCCCCAGGCCAGUUUGUGGGGAGUCACUGUCCCCCAUCAGCAAUAGUCUGACGAAGGUUAGAACACAGGGCUUCCCUUUAUGCAAAGGGCACUGGGGUGUUGGAGGGAAGGGUCACACCAGGAUCACCCGGAAGGGAAGGCAGGCGGCGUCUCUGGCCCCAACCAGCUGCCCCCCUGUGAUCCUCCCAGUGGCUUCUACUCCAGAGAACAGACAGCCACCGAGUGUGACGUGUCCCCCGUGAAGACUCAGCUUCCCAGGAAGGGUUUGCAGACUGAUGGCUAAUUAAAGGUUCGCAGGAGGUUGGGGGCUUUGGCACUGAGCUGCUAAUGCUUUUGACAUUUGUCCAAAUUAAAAAU
Long non-coding RNA from Suricata suricatta (meerkat), 1257 nucleotides. RefSeq lists it as uncharacterized. The record is from RefSeq and is a predicted model, not a curated record. The transcript is spliced from 5 exons. Lineage: Eukaryota; Metazoa; Chordata; Mammalia; Carnivora; Herpestidae.